This 1564-nucleotide long non-coding RNA is filed under the name Homo sapiens (human). RNAcentral's name for it is "HSALNT0032847". The record is from RNAcentral. Lineage: Eukaryota; Metazoa; Chordata; Mammalia; Primates; Hominidae.
CAGGAACUCGAGAGAACAACCUCUUUCAAGGCACAGAAGGCUGAAGCGCAUUAUCAAUAUUUGGUAUGUUCACAGCUCCAAGGACGGCUGCAGAAGUGCACUAAGCUGGCUGGGUUUCUGGGAGCCAAUGCAUCCAACUGGUAAAAAGUCGGUGGCCUCUGUGGGAGCGGUUUUGCCGAGAGGGCAGGGUCCUGCUCAGUGGCACUUGCCCUGGGUCAGAGCACUGUCUCCAGAGUACUGCCUGCCUGAACCUCCCACCCCGCUUCUCUGGCCUUUGGGGUCGCCUCCUGCAAGUCACGCCUCUGCCCUUCCUCCCUGCUGCUGCCCUGAUGCUGGUCCACUACCCACUUCCCUGAAUGGUGGACACCCCCCAGAAAAUCAGGACACUUCCCAGGGGAAAAAGUAUUGUUAGAGGAGCUCUAUUUUACAGGACUCACAGGCUGGGUUUUGUUGGUUAUGUAUUGUGGCAUUGGAGCAGGCAAUCACAGGGCCAUCUGUGUGAAUGGGGGGGGCGGGGGGUGUGGGGAGGAGGCUUGUGAAAGUGCCCGCCAAUGCGGGCGUCCUCACUGGAAGCCCGUUGGUCUUUCCGAUUCGUGGGGUGAGAUGGUUAGAAAAACCGCUCUUCCUUUGUUUAGAACUGAACUAGGUGCAUGGAAUGAAGGGCAAUGACCCUGUUAACAUCUUGUAGAACCAGAUACCAGUUGUAACUGUGCAAAUCAGGGCCUGCCCCAUCUCCUCAGCUGGAGCAGCCACUGGUGCUAUUGGUGCCGUGGUGGCAAGCUGAGCUCCUAAAGGGCACUGUUGGGGUCAGGGAAAGCAUAUAUAUUUAUAAAGGAGGAAAAAGACAGUUAUUAUGUGAUAAUCAUACCUGGUACCCUUUCCCCCUCAUUAUGUCUUUUUUUUUUUUUUUUUUGAGAAGGGGUUGUGAUUAUAGAAGUAACAUAUGUAGUUAUUAAAAUGUCAUACAGGCCAGGUGGAGUGGCUCACACCUGUAAUCCCAACACUUUGGGAGGCCGAAGAGGGUGGAUCACUUGAGGUCAGGAGUUCAAGACCAGCCUGGCCAACAUGGUGAAACCCCAUCUCUACUAAAAAUACAAAAAUUAGCCAGGCGUGGUGGCGCAUGCCUGUAAUCGCAACUACUCAGGAAGCUGAGGCACAAGAAAUGCUUGAACUUGGGAGGCAAAGGCUGCAGUGAGCUGAGAUCAAGCCACUGCACUCCAGCCUGGGCAACAGCGCAAGACUCUGUCUCUAAAUAAAUAAAUAAAUAAAAUGUCAUAUAAUAUAAAAAUAAGAGUCUCCUUGUUGUUUUGCCGGGGCUGCCAUAACAAAAUACCACAAACUGGGUGGCUUAAACAAUAGAAAUUUGUGGUCCCGCAGUCUGGAGGCUGGAAGUCCAAAGUAGGGUGUUGCAGGGCUACCAGGGCAGGAUGUGCUCCAGGCCUCUCUCCUUGGGUUGCACAUCUUCUCCAUCUUUUCCAGGCCUGUUCUCAUAGUCUUCCCUCUGUGCAUGUCUCUGUGUCCAAAUGUCCCCUUCUUAGAAGGAUAGCAGUCAUACUGGAUUAGG